Molecule: long non-coding RNA, 3789 nt
Filed under: Lynx pardinus (Iberian lynx)
Lineage: Eukaryota; Metazoa; Chordata; Mammalia; Carnivora; Felidae
Source: RNAcentral
GGUUCCUGGGGAGAAAUUGAGCCUCUUCGCUUCUGCUGGGUCUAAAUCGAGCAGUGCCUUGGUUACCCGCUCCCGGGCUUUGUGAUUGGUUGGCUGUGGGGGGAGGGGGGCAGUAGGCUGCUGAUGGAGCUGCGGCAUCCCUUCGGCUGGGGCCCCGGGAGGGGGAAGGGAAAAGACCGAGCAGUGGAGGGAAGAGGGAGCCAUUUCUCUCCACUGGCUGCGACCUCCUCACAGCUCACAGCUCACAUUUGCCCGGAAUCCCGAGGCCUCCUCGGCCGAGGACUCCAUCAUGCUGGAUAUUUUCAUCCUGAUGUUCUUUGCCAUCAUAGGCCUGGUCAUUCUGUCCUACAUUAUCUAUCUGCUCUAGCUGCGGCGGGGAACCCUCAGAACAGCUCGGGGGGGAAGGAUGGAGCUGACCGGCCGAGCAUCCUGCUUUGCUGACGCACCGGUGGAUUUUUGCUUCUGGUCGUUAUUUCGGGUAUUGAUUCAAAAACCAAAUUGAAAGAGAUCUUGUUAGUUUUUUUGCGUCAGACGCAUUGAUAGAGCAUUUCUCAGACCACCCCGAAAAGAAUAAGAAAUGCCAACUUCUUCUUCUGAGACCUAAUUCGAACGAUUUUGAAAAUGAAAAAUAAGCCCCGCAGUACAAAGGAUUUUUAGAUAGAAUGGGUUGGGAGUGGUGUGCUUGGCGGGGGAGGGACUAUUAUUUUCCCAGUUUUUUUCUUCAAGUUCGGUGCUCCUAGUCCAAGUUGCCUUUCUUCUCCUGGUAAUUAAAGGUAAAACACAUCUUUAUAUGUCAGCAGAGCGGUUUGCAAUUAUGCUUCCAUAAUUGCAUUAAUUAAUUAGUGACUCGUUUUCCCUGGAAGGUGAAGCAGCUAAUGAAAUGUACUUGGGAGCGGGGUCUGGGGGAGAUGUCCAUUGUUUUCCAGCUGUGGGGUUUAGUGGCCAGGAGGGAGGAAUUCCUAAUUUGUUUCUUAGUCCGUAGCCAGUACUGGGCUGCUGGUAUCUUUGCUGUUCCCAUCUGAGCCUUGUUUCUGGGUUUCCCACAGCUCCUGGUCUCCACUCCAACCAGAGACCUCUUAGCAGCAGUCUUGCUGCCCAGCAGACCUCUUCCAGAACCUUCCGGAUAUGGCUAACCACUGUGGAGCAAGGGGCUUUUUGAGCCCAGAGGCAGAGGGGCACUCAGCCGGGACGUCAGGAAUUCGUGGGCAAGGCUGGCAGAUGCUGUGUGCGUUUGAGCUGUGGAUAGAAGGUGUUGAGGACACAGAGCUGAAAUGCAGACUCAUGAAAGUCACCACGGAGAACUGCGCACAUAUCCAUUUUGAUAGCCUCUCUCUAGGUGUAAAUGCAACUGCGUAUUAUGCUAAAAUAUGUUCUUUCCUUUCCCUCUCACACACUGGGGGGAUAGUUCAAGAGCACAUUGUCUACCCUCAUCUCUGAAGUAUUCAGUUUAUCGCUGUCUUUGCAGACAGCCUGAGGUGGUGUAGUAUCUAUCCCUUGUUUCACUCUUUAGCCAGAAGGAACUCGUCAUUUGAAUUUUUAAGAUUUAUCAUAUUUUUUCCACUCCAUACCACGUGAGCCCCAGCUUCUCAUUUAAAGAGAGAAAUGGUUAUAUAGUCAUUAUUCUUUGAGACUGUCUGAAUUAUAAAUUAUUGAAAUAGGGUAGCUAUAACUCAUCUUACUUGUUAUGUGGGAAAAAUCUCUCUCUUGCCCCAAAAUAAAUGUUUGUUUUUUUUUUUAUAUUGUCAAAUGUUCCUUUUCUGGAAAAAAGACUUUCAACAUAUUUCUUUGUCCAGUUAGGGUUGAAGAAACUAUAUAUUUUGGAACCCAGAGUAGACUUGGGCCCCAAAUCUGCGGUACCCAUUCCUUUGAAAAGUCCAUCAUGAUGAUUCUACACUGGAUUUUCCUUUCUAGCUUAAAAAUAAACAAGGAGACAGAUUAACUUAAUAGUUUUUAUUUAUAAUAUUGUGUUCAAUUUCCGUGUUUUAAAAAAGCAGUAAAAUGAGGCAAUACAAUAUAUGAUCCAAUAAAAAUGGAACACUUGCAUUUUAAGAUUCUGGCCAAGAAAAAUACACUACUCCAGGAGCAUUGUCUUGGCAACAAAUUAUGUGACCUUCAAGAAGUCAUUUAACGCUCAGGGCUUUUGUUUAUUCUGACAAAUGAAAGGGUUAGACUAGAAAAUUGUUAAUGGUAAAUUUUUUAUUUCAAAUUUAUUUUUUAUUUUAUUAUUAAAUUUUCAUUUAAAAUCUUCCCUUUCCGUUUUAAACUUCUUCAAUCCUGGGAUGCAUUAGCUUUGGAAACCACACCUUUGAGAGCAGAAUUCCUAUGGAACAAACAAGUUUGCUUUUCUGCUCUCUCUAAAUGACAUUUGAUGAUGAAAUCCAACUGGAAAACUCUCUCUCUUUUUUCUUUUUUGGACACGACCAGCUACAUUGUGAGAAGAGAAUGACAAUAUUUAUUUAGUCCAAACUUGUAUCAGUGAUAAUUCGCCUAAGCUGUUUAGGGAAUACUAACAGGUGCAAUACUAUAUGGUGGUAUGUGACCCAAGGAGGUGAUCUGACAGAUAAGCUAGUGUAGGAAGCAUACAUACAGUGAUGAGGCUGAUCUUCAGUUAUCCGGGGAGGCCUUGACAUGACCUUUCCCACUGAAACACUCCUCUGACUCUCUGGCAUAACUUCGUGUCUCACACUAAAAUUUUUUCUACUGUAAGGCAAGCGUCAGUGUUUUGGAGGGGGUCCAAGUUACACAGUGAAUUAUAGUGGUAUGAAUCUUCAAGGUUUAGUCUCUAACCAGGUUCACUCUGAAGUCUCUUAUGAGGCCCAGGCUCUUUAGCCUGUAUUCACGCAUAGUUGAAAUGGCUAAACAACUCAGUGAAAACAAUCAGCCAGUUUCAGUCCUAGCCCACUGAUACAUAUCACCGAUAUUGGGUGCAAUGUAAGCACAGAAAGAGUGUCCAUAUUGCUUGUGAAAUAUUAUGGUUUCAAAAAAUAAGUGAUUAUAUUUUGGAAGAAAUUUUAGGACUUUGUGCCUCUAUCCGUGCUAGAAAAUGCCAGCUUAUAAUAGAAUUUUACUGGGUUCAUCAUUUCAGUACGUUUUAAAUUUCAUAUUUAAACUAUUUGUAUAUUGGCCUCCUAAUACAUAAUAAAACACUGAAAAGAGUUACUUCUGUAAUAUAAAGGUUUUUAAAAAAUGUUUAUUUAUUUUUGAGAGAGAGAGCACCCAUGCAUACACAGGGAAGGAGCAGAGAGAGAGGGAGAGAGAGAAUCCCAAGCAGGCUCUGUGCUUUCAGUGUGGAGCCUGAUGCAGGGCUCAAACCCAUGAACCAUGAGAUCAUGACCUGAGCCAAAAUCAAGAGUCAGACGUUUAACUGAGCCACCCAGGCGCCCAUAUAAUAUAAAGUUUUGUAUACAUUUUAUAAAUCUGUCAUAGGCAAUCCUGUCCUAUAAAGUGGGUAUUACACUUGGUCCACAUCAAUGCAGUAAUAAAUCUAAAUAAUUGUAGAUUACUUAGAAAAUAGUUAAUGUGGCAUUACACUAAUUCCUGCUUUCUUGAUAAAAAAUAGAAAUUUGUAUGGGAAAGUGAUGUAUUUUAUUGCAGGAGGAAGAGGAUAUAUUUUGGGAAACAGUUAAAUAAUGGAAAAUUAUCAUAAAUACUACUAAGUUUUAAACCACCUAAGACUCAUUAUUCUGGGUGUACAGAAUCAUGUCCAAACUCUUUGAAUUUGAAACUUGGCAUGACAUAAUUUACUAAACUUCAGAAAAUUUGUUUGCUUUUAAGAGGCUUAAAAUUAGC